AAUAAUGAUGAAGUUUAAUCACAUCACUGACCUGUUUAGAACAGAAGUGGCCCGCAAGGCUGCUUUUAAGAUUAUUCAUCGGUCUACUACUCUGAAAUGGCUACAUCGUUCUGAUGUGUUGUUUUUUUGUAGGACGCCACUUUUAUGAAUAUCUUUUAAUGUAAUGAGUGGUCGGUACCUUUUUUGUCAUAGUUACACUGAUA
The sequence is a small nucleolar RNA, 203 nucleotides long. It matches the Rfam family "Small nucleolar RNA snR63".